UGGCGGACGGGUGAGUAACGCGUGGGGAACCUGCCCUGUACCGGGGGAUAGCAGCCGGAAACGGCUGAUAAUACCGCAUAAGCGCACGAAUGUCGCAUGACAUGGUGUGAAAAACUCCGGUGGUAUAGGAUGGACCCGCGUCUGAUUAGCCGGUUGGUGGGGUAAAAGCCUACCAAAGCGAAGAUCAGUAGCCGAGUUGAGAGACUGACCGGCCACAUUGGGACUGAGACACGGCCCAGACUCCUACGGGAGGCAGCAGCC
This 261-nucleotide ribosomal RNA is filed under the name uncultured bacterium. RNAcentral's name for it is "partial 16S ribosomal RNA". It matches the Rfam family "Bacterial small subunit ribosomal RNA", at positions 96 to 355 of the family's 1533-position model. The record is from RNAcentral.